RNAcentral lists this ribosomal RNA (595 nucleotides) under Adelopora crassilabrum. Its description in RNAcentral is "partial 16S large subunit ribosomal RNA". It matches the Rfam family "Bacterial large subunit ribosomal RNA", at positions 1834 to 2594 of the family's 2925-position model. Lineage: Eukaryota; Metazoa; Cnidaria; Hydrozoa; Anthoathecata; Stylasteridae. The record is from RNAcentral.
CCAGGAAAUAAAUCCUAGGUGACACCUGCCCAAUGGAACUUAAUCCAAAAAGUUCAAAAAACUUCUAAUAGUUCUAAAUGGACGCGUUAACCUGAGCGUGAUAAUGUAGCAUAAUCACUUGCCACUUAAUUAGUGGAUAGUAUGAAAGGUAUAACGAAUCUUUCACUGUCUUUUUUAAAGAAAUCAUAAAAUUAAAAUAAUAGUCAAGAUGCUAUUUAAAACUGUAAGACGAAAAGACCCUAUAGAGCUUAACUAUAAUUUACUUCAAAAAAAAAUUACCAAAAAUAAUAAAAAAAAAGUAAACUGGUAGUUUAGUUGGGGCGACUAUCUUCUAAAAAUAACGAAGACAAGCUAUAAUUAAAAUUAAAUUUUAUUGUAUAAUAAACAAAUUUAACAAUUACUAAAGUAGGCUUUAAUGACCCGUUACUAUAAAAAGGAAUAAGUAACAAUAAUUGAAUAAAAGCUACCUUAGGGAUAACAGGGUUAUUUUGUAUAACAGACCUCAUGAAAUACAAAGUUUGCCACCUCUAUGUUGAAUUAAGAUAUCCUAAAGGCGCAGAAGCUUUUAAGGGUUGGUCUGUUCGACCAUUAAAAU